UUACUGAGUUUACGCUCUAUAACCCUUUGUGAACAUACCUAUAACUGUUGCUUCGGCGGGUAGGGUCUCCGUGACCCUCCCGGCCUCCCGCCCCCGGGCGGGUCGGCGCCCGCCGGAGGAUAACCAAACUCUGAUUUAACGACGUUUCUUCUGAGUGGUACAAGCAAAUAAUCAAAACUUUUAACAACGGAUCUCUUGGUUCUGGCAUCGAUGAAGAACGCAGCGAAAUGCGAUAAGUAAUGUGAAUUGCAGAAUUCAGUGAAUCAUCGAAUCUUUGAACGCACAUUGCGCCCGCCAGCAUUCUGGCGGGCAUGCCUGUUCGAGCGUCAUUUCAACCCUCAAGCUCUGCUUGGUGUUGGGGCCCUACAGCUGAUGUAGGCCCUCAAAGGUAGUGGCGGACCCUCCCGGAGCCUCCUUUGCGUAGUAACUUUACGUCUCGCACUGGGAUCCGGAGGGACUCUUGCCGUAAAACCCCCAAUUUUCCAAAGGUUGACCUCGGAUCAGGUAGGAAUACCCGCUGAACUUAAGCAUAUCAAUAAGCGGAGGAAAAGAAACCAACAGGGAUUGCCUCAGUAACGGCGAGUGAAGCGGCAACAGCUCAAAUUUGAAAUCUGGCCCUAGGCCCGAGU
Molecule: ribosomal RNA, 629 nt
Filed under: fungal endophyte
Lineage: Eukaryota; Fungi
Description: eukaryotic LSU rRNA
Rfam family: 5.8S ribosomal RNA (bases 176-329)
Source: RNAcentral